Triticum aestivum (bread wheat) is the source of this 484-nucleotide long non-coding RNA. RefSeq lists it as uncharacterized. Lineage: Eukaryota; Viridiplantae; Streptophyta; Magnoliopsida; Poales; Poaceae. The transcript has 3 exons. The record is from RefSeq and is a predicted model, not a curated record.
AGAUCGGUGGCUAUCUACCCUCAGAUGACAUGGAUGCUGCACUAGUAUGGGUAUUAAAUAGAGCCAAAGAAUAUUUUGAAAAUGAUAUGAUAUUCAUUCCAAUAAACAUGGACGACGUUCACUGCUACCUAUGUGUUAUAAAUGCCAGAAAACUAUGUGUUCAAGUGCUCGACUCGCUAGGCCCAUCAAUGAAUCGCAAGGACCUCACUGAUACGGUUAGUAGUUAGUCCUACUGCCCCAUCUUUGCAUAAGAAGCAUUUUUUUCUUAUUUCUCGCAUGUCAUGCUUAUACUUUUUUCAUUUGUUGGUACAACAGCUAGAAGGACCGGAGGAUUUAUUCAAAUAUGCAUCCGAGCACAUGGAAUUAAAAUCCAAUAAGUGGACUGAUCUAAGUGUUACAACAUGGAAAAGAGAAGAAUAUAUUAAGAGCAGUCUUCAGACGGAUGGCCCCUGUCUGGUUAUUGGAUUUUCAAUUUAAUGCACUC